GACGGUGAAUGAGUGCGAACAGCGACCGUACGUGGAGCUUGCUCCCUUAGGUCAGCGGCGGACGGGUGAUUAACACGUGGGUAACCUGCCUGUAAGACUGGGAUAACUCCGGGAAACCGGGGCUAAUACCGGAUGCUUGAUUGAACCGCAUGGUUCAAUCAUAAAAGGUGGCUUUUAGCUACCACUUGCAGAUGGACCCGCGGCGCAUUAGCUAGUUGGUGAGGUAACGGCUCACCAAGGCGACGAUGCGUAGCCGACCUGAGAGGGUGAUCGGCCACACUGGGACUGAGACACGGCCCAGACUCCUACGGGAGGCAGCAGUAGGGAAUCUUCCGCAAUGGACGAAAGUCUGACGGAGCAACGCCGCGUGAGUGAUGAAGGUUUUCGGAUCGUAAAACUCUGUUGUUAGGGAAGAACAAGUACCGUUCGAAUAGGGCGGCACCUUGACGGUACCUAACCAGAAAGCCACGGCUAACUACGUGCCAGCAGCCGCGGUAAUACGUAGGUGGCAAGCGUUGUCCGGAAUUAUUGGGCGUAAAGCGCGCGCAGGCGGUUUCUUAAGUCUGAUGUGAAAGCCCCCGGCUCAACCGGGGAGGGUCAUUGGAAACUGGGGAACUUGAGUGCAGAAGAGGAGAGUGGAAUUCCACGUGUAGCGGUGAAAUGCGUAGAGAUGUGGAGGAACACCAGUGGCGAAGGCGACUCUCUGGUCUGUAACUGACGCUGAG
RNAcentral lists this ribosomal RNA (725 nucleotides) under Bacillus licheniformis. Its description in RNAcentral is "bacterial SSU rRNA". It matches the Rfam family "Bacterial small subunit ribosomal RNA", at positions 41 to 750 of the family's 1533-position model. The record is from RNAcentral. Lineage: Bacteria; Bacillati; Bacillota; Bacilli; Caryophanales; Bacillaceae.